RNAcentral lists this ribosomal RNA (463 nucleotides) under Vreelandella stevensii. RNAcentral describes it as "partial 16S ribosomal RNA". It matches the Rfam family "Bacterial small subunit ribosomal RNA", at positions 339 to 795 of the family's 1533-position model. The record is from RNAcentral. Lineage: Bacteria; Pseudomonadati; Pseudomonadota; Gammaproteobacteria; Oceanospirillales; Halomonadaceae.
CUAGGGUGGCUGCAGUGGGGAAUAUUGGACAAUGGGCGAAAGCCUGAUCCAGCCAUGCCGCGUGUGUGAAGAAGGCCUUCGGGUUGUAAAGCACUUUCAGUGGGGAAGAAAGCCUUGGGGCUAAUACCCUCGAGGAAGGACAUCACCCACAGAAGAAGCACCGGCUAACUCCGUGCCAGCAGCCGCGGUAAUACGGAGGGUGCGAGCGUUAAUCGGAAUUACUGGGCGUAAAGCGCGCGUAGGCGGUCUGAUAAGCCGGUUGUGAAAGCCCCGGGCUCAACCUGGGAACGGCAUCCGGAACUGUCAGGCUAGAGUGCAGGAGAGGAAGGUAGAAUUCCCGGUGUAGCGGUGAAAUGCGUAGAGAUCGGGAGGAAUACCAGUGGCGAAGGCGGCCUUCUGGACUGACACUGACGCUGAGGUGCGAAAGCGUGGGUAGCAAACAGGAUUAGAUACCCCAGUAGUC